CUCAGGACGAACGCUGGCGGCGUGCCUAAUACAUGCAAGUCGUACGCUUCUUUUUCCACCGGAGCUUGCUCCACCGGAAAAAGAAGAGUGGCGAACGGGUGAGUAACACGUGGGUAACCUGCCCAUCAGAAGGGGAUAACACUUGGAAACAGGUGCUAAUACCGUAUAACAAUCGAAACCGCAUGGUUUUGAUUUGAAAGGCGCUUUCGGGUGUCGCUGAURGAUGGACCCGCGGUGCAUUAGCUAGUUGGUGAGGUAACGGCUCACCAAGGCCACGAUGCAUAGCCGACCUGAGAGGGUGAUCGGCCACAUUGGGACUGAGACACGGCCCAAACUCCUACGGGAGGCAGCAGUAGGGAAUCUUCGGCAAUGGACGAAAGUCUGACCGAGCAACGCCGCGUGAGUGAAGAAGGUUUUCGGAUCGUAAAACUCUGUUGUUAGAGAAGAAYAAGGAUGAGAGUAACUGUUCAUCCCUUGACGGUAUCUAACCAGAAAGCCACGGCUAACUACGUGCCAGCAGCCGCGGUAAUACGUAGGUGGCAAGCGUUGUCCGGAUUUAUUGGGCGUAAAGCGAGCGCAGGCGGUUUCUUAAGUCUGAUGUGAAAGCCCCCGGCUCAACCGGGGAGGGUCAUUGGAAACUGGGAGACUUGAGUGCAGAAGAGGAGAGUGGAAUUCCAUGUGUAGCGGUGAAAUGCGUAGAUAUAUGGAGGAACACCAGUGGCGAAGGCGGCUCUCUGGUCUGUAACUGACGCUGAGGCUCGAAAGCGUGGGGAGCAAACAGGAUUAG
Molecule: ribosomal RNA, 787 nt
Filed under: Enterococcus faecium
Lineage: Bacteria; Bacillati; Bacillota; Bacilli; Lactobacillales; Enterococcaceae
Description: bacterial SSU rRNA
Rfam family: Bacterial small subunit ribosomal RNA
Source: RNAcentral